This 599-nucleotide long non-coding RNA is filed under the name Daucus carota (carrot). RNAcentral's name for it is "long non-coding RNA (DCAR_LNC000062)". Lineage: Eukaryota; Viridiplantae; Streptophyta; Magnoliopsida; Apiales; Apiaceae. The record is from RNAcentral.
CCAUCUAGAGAGUCUCCAUACAUUGUGUCCUCCCAGUCCCAGACCUGCACUAAUUAUGUAUGGUUCGGUUUGUUUCCUUUUUUUGUUAAGUAAUGGGGCCGUUUGGGCAAGCUUAAAAAAAGUGAUUCCGUGCUUAAAGUAAAGAAGUGGAUCAGAAGUGAGAAGUAAAUAAGUUAAUAAAGUGUUUGGAAAAGAAGCAGAAGCUCUGAGAGAGAAGUUAGCAUUCUCAGCUUCUUAAAAGUGCUUCUACUUCUUUACACAAACGGGUCAAGAGAAGCAGAAGCCAGCUUCUGCUUCCUCAAUACAAACAGCCCCAAUAACUAUAUUAACCCAGCAAGAAGAUACAUCAAGGACUAGGGCAUACCACAGCUUCAGCAAAUGAUCAGGACAGGAUCCAUUUAGCCAUAAUUUAAGCAGUAAACAACUAGCCUAGGGAGAAACAACCAAUACAACAUGCUAAUUAACCUGAACUCAGCAGCAACCACUUUGUCGAAUUUUCCCAUUCUUGUUUAGUUUUGUUUAAAUCUGAUAAUAUAUGCAAUAACACAAACAUCUCUGAGUCAGAGAUCAAAUUUUCCUGCUUCAAAAUCUUAUAACAU